Molecule: non-coding RNA, 867 nt
Filed under: Lachnospiraceae bacterium A4
Lineage: Bacteria; Bacillati; Bacillota; Clostridia; Lachnospirales; Lachnospiraceae
Description: Bacterial large subunit ribosomal RNA
Rfam family: Bacterial large subunit ribosomal RNA
Source: Rfam by way of RNAcentral
AAGUGCCAGUGAAGAUGCUGGCUACCUGCGCCAGGACGGAAAGACCCCAUGGAGCUUUACUCCAGUUUGAUACUGGGAUCCGGUGCUGUAUGUACAGGAUAGGUGGGAGGCUAAGAGCCACAGACGCCAGUCUGUGAGGAGCCGCUGUUGGGAUACCACCCUUAUAGUACUGGGUUUCUAACCUGCGCCCGUAAGCCGGGCGGGGGACAAUGUCUGACGGGGAGUUUGACUGGGGCGGUCGCCUCCGAAAGGGUAUCGGAGGCGCUCAAAGGUUCCCUCAGAAUGGACGGAAACCAUUCGUAGAGCGCAAAGGCAGAAGGGAGCCUGACUGUGACACCGACGGGUGGAGCAGGUACGAAAGUAGGACUUAGUGAUCCGGUGGCAUAAAGUGGGAUUGCCAUCGCUCAACGGAUAAAAGCUACCCUGGGGAUAACAGGCUGAUCACUCCCAAGAGUUCACAUCGACGGAGUGGUUUGGCACCUCGAUGUCGGCUCAUCGCAUCCUGGGGCUGUAGCAGGUCCCAAGGGUUGGGCUGUUCGCCCAUUAAAGCGGUACGCGAGCUGGGUUCAGAACGUCGUGAGACAGUUCGGUCCCUAUCCGGCGUGGGCGCAGGAUAUCUGAGAGGAGCUGUCCUUAGUACGAGAGGACCGGGAUGGACGAACCGCUGGUGUACCUGUUGGCGACCAACGCCAUGGCAGGGUAGCCAAGUCCGGCAGGGAUAAACGCUGAAGGCAUCUAAGCGUGAAGCCCCCCUCAAGAUGAGAUAUCCCCCACACAAGUGGAUAAGACCCCUUGAAGACGACAAGGUAGAUAGGGUAUAGGUGUAAGUGCAGCAAUGCAUUGAGCUGAAUACUACUAAUCGGUCGA